GGGAAACGAGGCAGGGGCUGGGGCCAUGAGCCAUCCCAAGCCCUGGGAAAUAUAGGCUCA
Molecule: regulatory RNA element, 60 nt
Organism: Gorilla gorilla gorilla (western lowland gorilla)
Lineage: Eukaryota; Metazoa; Chordata; Mammalia; Primates; Hominidae
Rfam family: Ma3 gene ribosomal frameshift signal
Source: Rfam